Molecule: small nucleolar RNA, 127 nt
Filed under: Echinops telfairi (small Madagascar hedgehog)
Lineage: Eukaryota; Metazoa; Chordata; Mammalia; Afrosoricida; Tenrecidae
Description: Small nucleolar RNA SNORA61 (ENSETEG00000026611.1)
Source: RNAcentral
AGUCUUAGAAAACCUACCCAUCAAACCUAAACACUGGUCUGUGUGAGUUCUAAAAGGAGGAAAAGUAAAAUUGAAAUGGACUUAAAUUUUUUGGUGACUAGUUUCAGCAAGCUAGUUUCAAGCCAAG